RNAcentral lists this unclassified non-coding RNA (379 nucleotides) under uncultured Paenibacillaceae bacterium. RNAcentral describes it as "contains 16S-23S intergenic spacer region". The record is from RNAcentral. Lineage: Bacteria; Bacillati; Bacillota; Bacilli; Caryophanales; Paenibacillaceae.
UCCGGUUUGUCACCGGCAGUCAUCUUAGAGAGCCCAUCCUUACAUGCUGGCAACUAAGAUCAAGGGUUGCGCUCGUUGCGGGACUUAACCCAACAUCUCACGACACGAGCUGACGACAACCAUGCACCACCUGUCUCCUUUGUCCCGAAGGCCUACGAUAUCUCUACCGUAUUCAAAGGGAUGUCAAGACCUGGUAAGGUUCUUCGCGUUGCUUCGAAUUAAACCACAUACUCCACUGCUUGUGCGGGUCCCCGUCAAUUCCUUUGAGUUUCAGUCUUGCGACCGUACUCCCCAGGCGGAAUGCUUAAUGUGUUAACUUCGGCACCCAGGGCAUCGAAGCCCCGAACACCUAGCAUUCAUCGUUUACGGCGUGGACUAC